Vidua macroura (Pin-tailed whydah) is the source of this 3815-nucleotide long non-coding RNA. RefSeq lists it as uncharacterized. The transcript has 6 exons. NCBI's taxonomy places the organism in Eukaryota, Metazoa, Chordata, Aves, Passeriformes, Viduidae. The record is from RefSeq and is a predicted model, not a curated record.
GGUGGAAACUUUUUGGGGGCGGUGUGGCAGAGGACAGUAGGUUUGGGGUAAGCUGUCUGUGGUGAGGACAUGGAGCCAAGUGGAGCUGCCUCUCUGGCCAGGAGCAGCUCAUCUACAGGCGGUGACAAUCCCAGGAGGCGGUAGCUGACUGCUCUAGUGCAGCUGCCCUCACCAAAUGGGUGUAUUUCAGCCUGCCCUUGGCCAAGCUGUAUCUGGGUUGUGGCCAGAAGAGGGGAAAAAAAAAUCUCAUGGGCUGAGCACAUGGUCUCCUAAACUGUACUCUUGGCUCUCAGUGGUGGGUGUUGAACUUGGUAGGUUGUUGAGCCUUUGUGUGCUUUGGUAUCUCCAUCUAUGAAGCAGAGAUAACAGUUGGCUUCAUGCAGGGAUUAAUUAUCGCAUCUUGUAGUCACGUAUUUGUUUAUUUGUUUUUACUAUAGGUUACAGCUGGAGGAAUUCUAAACAGUCCACUUCUCCUUGUCAUGGUGUUUGAGCGCAUUGUGCUCGGGUCUGAACAGAGGAAAUCACUGAGGUAUCUGCUGCUACUGGAACUGAAAGUGAAAUCCCUAGCUGUUGGUCUGGUUGCUGUCCUUAGGACAUGUGAAUGUCUGCUCCUGUUCUGCUGUAGCUGCAGCUCCUCAGUGGUUCCACAGACCUGCUUUGUCACGGAGUGUCAGUAACUUCACAGAACUCACUGCAUCUGCUGCUGUACUUGGAAUCAACUCUGGCAUCUGUCUAAAUGUAGCUGGAAAUGGAUAGACACCAUUUAUGACUGAAUAUCCUGAGUCACUGAUUCCCAGCUGGCAUGUGCACUGCAGUUCCGUCUCUUCCUUUCCGACUGCACUCCCUAGAGGAGAUUGGGAACAACUGCAGUCGUCAGCUCCAGCGUGGUGUGUGCGUUUGCCGGGAUCCACACAAUUGGUGGACAACCCCUGUCUACGUCUAUGGGGAAGCAAAGGACUGGAUACCCUAAACAGUGACUGCAGUGGAGCCAUUUCCAGAGUAAGGAGUUUCCUAGUAGGUCAAAGUCCACUGCAAGCAGUGACUUAUACAAUUCCCUGUGUAAGUCAGGCUGGACUGCCUGUGCCUCAGGUUCUAACAGCAGGGGAGCUUGUGCAAGAGCACCUUGGUAGGUGUUUGUCUGGAAUUCUCUGUGGUCCCUGUGAUGAUCCUAGGAAGCAGGAGAAGAUCCAGAAUUGUCUGAAUGCCAGGAUUCUUUGAAAUCACAGAGAAGUUAUGAUAAGAGUUGUGGCUGAGGCCAACCUGCUAGCCUGCUUCCCAUUCUGCUUCUUGUAUGUGUCCAAGAAGCUGCCUCCAGUUUAUACUGUUGCACUCUAGUAAACAAUUUUGCAUGCAGAUAUGGGCAGCAGAUGUUACUCAUGCCCAUGUGAACACUUCAGUGUUUUUACAGCAGGGAUGAUCCUUGGAUUGAGUCCUGUUAAACAAUGGAUGUACCCACCAGAAGUCCCACUGGUUACAGCCAUUCUGUUACAGCUUGCUCAAAACACUUGGAAGGAUGGUCACGCCAUCCUUCUUUGGCCACUCAAGGGGAUUGACUCACAAAUAUGAGCAAAAUAAAAUUAGAUGGCUUAAGUGGCUGCAACCCCAGCUGUGUCCCCACUGCCCAAUUCCCAGAAGGUCAUCCCUGCAGCCAGGCUGGCUGUGGAAGGCAACUCCUGGGCUGCUGUCGUGACAGCCCAUUCUUCAGGGUGUUAAUAUUUGUCUGGCUCCUCUGUGAAACAGUUUAGGAAGCUUAACCAGAAUAAAAAUGUGCACUUUUCCAUCUGAAGGAUUUUUUUUUAGUUUAAUUUCUCAAAUGGGCUCUGAGAAGCAGCAGCGUUGCUGUGAGGGCAGGGCAGGGAGAGAUGACCUUCCCUUUUGGGAGCAGCCAUUACGUCAGUUUUGCUGCCUCACAAAACUAUACCCUACAGUUAUUUUUGGUGCUGGACUGCCUUAAUUUUCUGGAGAGUGAACGAAGGAUUAGCAUAGUGUGCUUAUGACAUUUGGAAACUAAGCUUUUAGAAAAAAAAAUCAUAAUUCAGCAUGUGCUGAGGUGGAAAUACUUAAAUUGUUAGGAAUGGGAAAGAUGAGUAAAACGUGAAUUUUUUACAAUUUUUCCAAUUCAGCUAGGGGGUUAAAUCCUUUUUUAAUUUUUUGGGUUUUGCUGCUUUUUAAGACCUCUAACCCAAUGCCUACUAUCCAGCUGCCUCUAGAGAGAGAAGUCUUUAAAGAGACCAGCUUUGUACCUAUAAAUAAUGUACACAGCAGAGUACAAAAAUGGAGUCAAGGAGAAGCUCCUCCUUACCUGAAUGUAACUGCAGCAGCUCUGUGAGAAUAGCUGUGGUCAGGCUGUGAGCAGCACUCCUACCCUGUCAUCCAUCUUGACUAAAUUGCUUCUGGGAGCUAAUUCUGAGAUUCCAACACUUGAAUAUCAACUGGUAAAUCCCAACUGCCUUGUACUGAAACACAUUAGAUGCCAGCAGCCAAACGUGGCAAGGUUUUGAACAGUGUUUGGAACUAAAGGUCUGCUGGAGUGUUUUGUUAAGCUGGAUGUGUUGGAAUAUGGAGAAUUUUGCAAGUCUGAACCCCUGCUAUAAAUGAAAACACUGUGGCAAAAAAAAUGUAAAUAAAUGCCACACAUACUUUGUGUAAGAGCCCUUCCCAAUAUCUAUAAAUAUGGUAAUUUUGGUGUUUCCCAAUUUUGAGUUUUAAACAGGAGACAGACACAUGAAAUAUUACAAAGCAAGCAUUUUAUUUUUUUUCAUGGAUUAAUUUUCUAAUUUCACUUCUAACUUGUUCUAAAUUGUUCUAAAACAAUUAAUGGAAACGAAAUGUAGUGUUUUAAAGAGGAUUGCCUUUGAAAGGAAAUAAUUUGUUCUUGAAAAAAUAACUUCAGUAGCUUCUCAGUUUAACUGCAUUUUAAUAUGUACACAAAACUCAUCCCGGGUCAGACUCUCCAGGAAAACUUUCUCAUGAUUCCUGUAGCAGUUGAUUCAGUCCUUGCUGCCUUAAUUUUGCAGCUUCAAAUGGCAGGUUCUCAGCAAAGCCAUCCACUUCAAAGCUUCAUAAAACAGAGCUUUGAAUAAAUUACCAAGUUAGAAAUUAUACUGGCUGUGCCCAGCUUAGUGCCUGGAUGUGGGAAUACUUGGCACUGGGUGUGGAAUUCCAAGGAAAAUUGCCUCUUUGCUGGCUUGCCAAAGAGCAGUAAGAAGAAAAACUGCUGCAAAUGAGCAGACACGGAAAUCUCCAGCUUCCCUUUCCAGAAAACACAUCCUGAAGAACUGUUGAAUAUUAAUACACAUUAUAACUGGUGCAACAAUGGGCAAACACUGGGAUUAACAGAAACUACUGCUUCUGGAGGGGAUGUGUCCCAGCGUGGCCACGGGCAGCACUGCCUGCUGGAACUGCUCUUACCUUUAAAAUGCAUCCCUGGGGAUGCAACGUGGAGUCAGUGGAAGUGGGGCAGGCCCACCGUGUGUGGACACACCAUGUUGGGGUGUGGGAUGCCCGUGCUUCAUGUGCCAGGUGAUGAGCCCCAGGCUGUAUUAUUUUGGAUUUUUUUUCUCUCUUUUGAAAGCUUUAGAUAAUAUAAUACUGAUAACAUGAUACUUCUAAGCAGUGACAUAGUUGCUUUGUCUUUCACAAAGAGACAGCCCACCUUCCUCUGUAUUCAGAUUUCUGGUCUGUGUGUGUGGAGAUGAUUUGUCUAUAAUUGUUUGCUUUCUUCAGAGUCUUUUGAAGUUUAAAUCUUCAAACCAGCUCCCUAUAUUAAAAAUAAAUUCUUCCAAGCCACCAAUAAAAUGUCAGCUGUGAUUAAA